RNAcentral lists this ribosomal RNA (253 nucleotides) under uncultured bacterium. RNAcentral describes it as "partial 16S ribosomal RNA". It matches the Rfam family "Bacterial small subunit ribosomal RNA", at positions 524 to 776 of the family's 1533-position model. The record is from RNAcentral.
UACGGAGGAUGCAAGCGUUAUCCGGAAUGAUUGGGCGUAAAGCGUCCGCAGGUGGCUUUGUAAGUCUGCUGUUAAAGAGUGAGGCUCAACCUCAUAAGAGCAGUGGAAACUACAAGGCUAGAGUACGUUCGGGGCAGAGGGAAUUCCUGGUGUAGCGGUGAAAUGCGUAGAGAUCAGGAAGAACACCGGUGGCGAAAGCGCUCUGCUAGGCCGUAACUGACACUGAGGGACGAAAGCUAGGGGAGCGAAUGGG